GACGAACGCUGGCGGCGUGCUUAACACAUGCAAGUCGAACGGAAAGGCCCUGCUUUUGUGGGGUGCUCGAGUGGCGAACGGGUGAGUAACACGUGAGUAACCUGCCCUUGACUUUGGGAUAACUUCAGGAAACUGGGGCUAAUACCGGAUAGGAGCUCCUGCUGCAUGGUGGGGGUUGGAAAGUUUCGGCGGUUGGGGAUGGACUCGCGGCUUAUCAGCUUGUUGGUGGGGUAGUGGCUUACCAAGGCUUUGACGGGUAGCCGGCCUGAGAGGGUGACCGGCCACAUUGGGACUGAGAUACGGCCCAGACUCCUACGGGAGGAAGCAGUGGGGAAUAUGGCACAAUGGGCGGAAGCCUGAUGCAGCACCGCCGCGUGCGGGAUGACGGCCUUCGGGUUGUAAACCGCUUUCGCCUGUGACGAAGCGUGAGUGACGGUAAUGGGUAAAGAAGCACCGGCUAACUACGU
RNAcentral lists this ribosomal RNA (467 nucleotides) under uncultured bacterium. RNAcentral describes it as "partial 16S ribosomal RNA". It matches the Rfam family "Bacterial small subunit ribosomal RNA", at positions 28 to 506 of the family's 1533-position model. The record is from RNAcentral.